CUUUGCUCCUGUCAAAGGAUGGGUACUAAAUAAAGGAAAUAAUUUAGUCUUUGGUUAUCUAGCAGGAGAGGGAUUAUCAUGCUAGACUGGAGUACCUUGAAGUCAGCUCAGUUUACAGUAUCCCAUCUGCUGUGCUCUAUAAUGGUGUUCAGAUUAUGAUAAGAUGUAUAUUUCUGUGUUAAAGUUAAACUAAUAACAAAAAUAAAUAGAUAGCAAAAAAAAUCAACAUGUUUUAACUUUACUAUUAUUUCAUCAAGCAAUAAUGAACUGGGAAUUUGGCCAGUAUAUUAAAAACAUAGCCAAUAAAUCCUACAUUAUUUUAUAAUUAAGCACAUAUACAUAUAUGGACUGCACAGAAAAACAGUGAAAUAAUUGAUCCAUGUAUGUAAUUACUGGUGUACCAAUAAAACCAAAAUGUUUUCUUGGAAGAUAGUACAACUCUGAGUUAGGACUUAAACAGUAACUUACUGGGUUACUUCUGAGAGAAGAACAGUGAACUAUUUCAAAUAUGCUGGACAUGUUCUUCAGGAAAGGAAAAAUUUUUUAUUAUUUACACUAAUAUAUAAGGUCUCCCCUUACAUAGGCUUGCCUCACUUCAGCCAACUGAAGUAAAGGUCUAAAGCCUGAGCCAUUUCAGGCAAACUGCAAAGAGGAAGAGGGGGGUCUUACCUGUGUUGUCAUCCUCUGGAGUCAGGAUAUCAAAGAGUUUUCUUAAGGAUGACCAUAAAACUGUGGCUUUCACUACAGCACCCAUUGCAUUGCUGUUGCUCUCAGGAGAACAAAUUUAUUCUCCACAGCCACACCAUCUUGUAAACUGUUAUGACAAGACAAACCUUUCUCAUGCCACGAGAGAGAGAGUGAACUGUACAUCCUGUUGGUAACAUAUAGAAGUGAUCAAUUUCUGUAAGUACACACUUAUUUAAUACAUAUAUACUUAAAUAAGAAGGAUCAUAAAGACAUGUGUAGUAGAUCCACUGAUUGUAGUCCCUAAAGCCAUGGUUUGAUGUGCAGUGGUGCCACCCCAAGUCACUCACUUCUGUAGCUGUAGCUGCUUGUGGAGGCAACACAGUAAAGCAGAUCAGCAGCUCAAUUUAAUUAAAUUUAACUGUUUUCCACACUAUUUUUGCUAACUCAAGUAAUUAUCCACACUCUGUAUGACCCACGUACAGCUAUAUACCAGUAUGUAGAAUUGAUGCAAAAAGGCUGAGGAUUGGAAUACCAACAAUAUCUUCACUUGGCAGUGGCACUACAUGGUAUACUUGUCCCUGAGGUACCAUUGGAAACUCACAAAUUUGUUUUCAGUGUAAAUGGAAAACAAAUAUUAAAAAAGACCCUUUUUAGGUACACAAAAGAGCUUUGUAGUUUAGACUCUGAAAUGGACUUGACCUUCUGCCAGAGAACUUGCCUGUGGACAUGAGCAGUCUUGCAAUUACUGGCUGUUCCAUUUUGUCUGAAAAUACAAUGUUGUAGGGAAUGUUGCAGAGAUACGUUUCUUAAGUUUGUAAAGUAGUUGCAUGAGAAAAGCCAGACAGGCAAGAGGGGUUGGAAUGAAAAGCAAAAACACUCAAAAAGGACUGAAGCUAUUAAGGCAUAACAUGCUAUAUUAUGUAUACUGUUUUGUUUCUUAGAAAUGGACUUGCAUGUAUUUGCAAAUACUAUUUACUUACUAUACUACAGUGAGGACACUUGUCUCUUUACUAAUUUCACUCGAGUUUCAACUUUCCUGUGACUUCUUACAUUUCCCAGGUGCUGGAGAAGUGAUUCCCCUGCAGCCCAUUGUGAAGACCAUGGUGAGGCAGGCUGUCCCCCUGCAGCCCACAGAGGUCCACAGUGGAGCAAAUACCCACCAUGGAGCAGAUAUCCCAUAGAGGAACUCACAACAGAGCAGGGGAAUGCCUGAAGGAGGCUGUGACCCCUUGGGAAGCCCAUGCUGGAACAUGCUCCUAGCAGGACCUGUGGCCUCAUGGAGAGAGGAACCCAUGCUGGAGCAGGUGAGGAGGGGAGUGAUAGAAAGACUUCUGUGGGCAUCUGGUGUCUAGCCAGAUUCAACCCACCUCGGUCAGUAAGAAGACAUUUGGAAAGAGCUGAAUCAGUGGAACUGAAUGCAGUGUUUCCAAUUCUUCCUGGCAAGUGAAGGAAUAAAGAAGUAAAGAAUGAAGUCAGAAUCACACUAUGGGAAUACCAUCAUAUUUUUGUAAUUAAUUCCAUUCAAGAAAAUCUUAAUUGAAUAUUUUAGAGUUAAGAUAACAAUGCUGUUAAACAGCAACACAAUAUGAUGAAGUCAACAAAACAUGACUGUGAUAAUGUAAAGAAAAAUUCAAAUACAUUAAUUUGCCCAUUAGCCUUAUCCUAUUCCCUUUGGAUUUUAUUUUCUGUGCUUUAUUUUUUAACCUCAGAGCUGCAUUCAUGUAUUAUUAAAUCACUAACAACUGUUAUUUAAAAAUCUUGGCUUUCUGAGCCCAGUAAGUAAUCUGGAUGAGCGAUCUACCUCCCUAGGGGAAUUUUCCUAUGAAGAAGCUGGUAUGACCUCCACUCAAACAGUUUGCAUGCAUAAUUAUAUUUCUGAUGGACUCUAAUUGUAAACAUAAGAUGAAAAUAAUUUGUAGUGAAUUUUGUCUGGAAAUUUGACCCUUUACAUUUUUUUUUCUUUAAUUUUACCUUACCCAUGUUAGUAAGCAAAUAAUGCAUUUUUGUGCCAUGGAUAUUCAAAUUAAUCAAAUGACUAUUAAAUUAUGCACUUGACAUCCUUACAGAUAGCAUAUGCCUGCAUUAUUUGGCAGAAGUCAAAUGUACAAAUAUGUACGCUGUGGAAUGCUCCAUAUCUGUGUACAGUUAAACCAACAUGAGGACAGUGGUUAUACUGUUCUAGGCCUGUGUAACCACACAGUUUGGAAUCUUUGAAUAAAUUGCUGAAUGAACCUCAUUAGGAAUUAUAUGUAUGAGGUUUACAGAUGCUCCCUUUAUAAAUACUUAUAGCUGCCACAUCCGCAUUCAGACCUUUAGUAGGUUCCAGGUAGCAAUGUAAAUACACUAGUCCUAAGUAAAAAAUAUCCAUCCGUUGAAAAUUUUGGCAUCUAGCAAUCUCUGGUAAUGUGCAAAACCCCAAGCCAGCCAGCCUGUGCCUUUCUUUUUUAAUUCCUCCCCUGUGAUUUGACAGAUCUUCAGGUAAAGUGCAGAAGAGUUGAUGGAGACACUGACAGCUCUAUAACUUUGCUCAGCCACUCUGAGGUUCAUAGAGCCCAGCACAGACUGGAGUAAAUGUCUACUCAUUGUAAAACCUUCCCAGGUUUGAGAAAAAAAGGGUAAUAAACCUGAAUAAGGAAUUACAAAUGAGCUGGGAGAGGAUCUCAGUGACUUGGGACCUUCAUUCUCUGGAAGAGUUUUACAUUGUCCUAGAGGACUUCCUUUUAUUGUGCUGUUAGCAACUGGGAAGACUCUCCUGGCUGGAUGCUUGUUUAACUUGGAGGGCUAAAGCUAUUUUGUUCUGUAGUAAGUUUGUAAAUUAGGCAUAUAAUCUUCAGCCUAUAUUUGCCAAUGUAAAUCAAAGGACCAGGUAUUUCCAUAGGAUUUUGGCAUUCUAUAGUUCUCUUUCUAACCUAUAUGACUACUGACAGUGGCUUCCUAUUGCUACUGAGCACUGUCAAAUGGAAAGGAAGUACCAAGCUGACACAUGGCAAAUGAAUUAUCUUUUUAUAAAAGCUCAUAAUAGAGAUAAUUGAAAUGCAGAACAAUGUCAUCACAGUCACUUCUGAACAUAGGAAAAUGGAAUAAUGCUUUCUGGAACAACAAAGGUAUCUUUGUGCUCUUAGAUUAAAUUGCUGAACUAACUAAAUAUAUUUAAACAGGAACUGCUUCUAGACUGUAACUUUAAUGCCAGUUUUCAAAUGAGGAUAUAUUUUUAGACACAGUUCAUGAAUUGCUAAACCCAAGAUUUUCAAUUGGAAAUGCAAAGCUGCUGCUCCAACCGUCUGCUAUAGGUAAUUGUGAUUAAAACAGAAUAGGCAAUGGUACAAGCAUAACAGCUGCAUCUGUUUAGAGUUCUUCCAAAACCAGUAUUGUGACAACUGAAGUAAUGUAUGUGCAUAUGUAUUUCAUCCCAUGCUGCAAAAAUUAAUUUAUUAUUUGUGAUAUUAUUGCUUAUAUAAUCUCCAUCCUAAACCAGGACUCUACAGUCAUGUGCUGAUAUAUAUGGUAAAUGGGAUACAGACAGAAGGAAGACUACAAAGAGAUAUUAAAAUAAUAAUGAUCUACAUGCUUGGUUUCUGCCUAUCAAUAGCCUCUGUGUGGUAAGUAUUCUCCAGGUGUCACAGAGAGGGAGAGCUUUACAGAAGCAUUUGAAGAGGCCUUAUGAAGUAAAAGAGAAGCUCCUUUAGAAGUGAAAUGGAGAGAGCCAACAUCAGAAGCAGAUGAAGGGUGACGGUGUUUGCUCAAACACUGCAUGAUGUUACAGGCAGCAAGAGGAGUUGGCACCAUAAUAACAAGCAGUGCCUUAAUGAAAAUAAAAUGGGGAAGCAUAAGCCACAGGUGAAGGCAAUGAGCUUAUGCUUGCUGUGGUAGAGAAAGAUUAUACACUGAGCAGUCCCAAAAUUUCUGGUAAUAAUCUGAAUGUGUGUAAGUGUUUGCCUCUGCUGAAAGUGAGGUGAGGUUUGUAGAAAUACAAGAAGCAGGCAAACCCCUUCUUAGGGAGUUUUGACAAAACAUACAGAUAAUGAGGAUUUGGUAACUAAGUCGUGCAGUUUUUAGUUUAAAAAUCUUGGCUGAGCAGAAGUAUGUGGAUGGGUGAUAAUUCUGAUGAGUAUCAGUUUUCCAUUACAAGUUGGGGAUAUAACUUUCCAUUUAUUUUAACUAGCAUGAAAUUCAUUUUAAAGUCAAUCUUCUCACAUCUGUUUCACUUUAAUGUUAUUACACUCUGCAAGGAGACUGUGGUCUAGAGAGUUAAUCAGCAGCAAAAACUGUAAUGGGCAGAGGAGGAGAAUCUAUAUGGUUAUUGAAUCCCCACCAUUGUUUUUCUCUCUUAAGACCUUACACAAAGGCCUGAGAAGUGAAAAAAACCCUUCCACUACCUUGCUUUGAGCUUUGGGUUUGUCUCCUGUACCUUAUUAAUUGUACCAGCAAGCAGACCAAAUAAAUUAAUAGGGACGAAUAUUGCAUUGGUAUCAGAUAAUCUAUAAAAUUGCUGAAGAUGCCAUUGAAGAUGCACUCUGUAGUACGUUUAAUUCAAAAAGUCAUUCAAAAUGAGAAGUGCAGAUAUGCUAGGAUAAUAAAUAAACCAAUAUGCUACUGUUGAUUUGAUGACACCUCUGAAAGUAUUGGUCUGAUAUAAAUACUUCCAGGUGCUACUGAUGUACUGGUCUGCACUGCUUGCAUUACGUGUUUUACUGUGUUACAGUUCAAGCAGCCUGCUAGAGAGUUGUGAGGCAGGAAUGAACAGAAGCAGAACUCUUUCCCAAAAACCUUCAGCUCACAUCAUGAUUAACUCAGUUCUUGUUUUUCCAAUUACCCUCCCAAAUUUAUACUUUUUCCAACCAACAUCUUAAAAAGACUACAAUAACAUGGUUUUUAAUUUCUAUCUUCUUUCUAUUUUUUUUUUUUUGUCAGGGAAAUUAGCAUAUUUUGUUAAUAUGCAUGCUGUAUCUUCCAUCUUCUGUCUUUCCUUUGUCACAGUACUGCUCCACUGAGAGAGACCCCAGUGAGCCUCUUUUCAACUGUGUGAAGAUGCAACUUGCCUGAACCUGGGAGCGUCAUGACUGACAGUGAGUGAAAAAGGAUGGGUUACUAGACAGCCUUAGGACAUGUCUUCACUAAGCUAAAGGUCAAAUUUCGAUCAGGCUUAAUGGAAAAAAAAGAUAAAUCCCUCUAUAGAUAUGCCUGUUUAUCUAUGGGUUGCCUUUGAGGACACUUUCUGCCUGUAACCUCCUGAGAAUGACACUAGACUUACAGAAAUCCUUAGGGCAGUAGCAUAGUCAGAAUAACCAUCAGGAGAUAUGAUUCUGUGAAAAUACUACUGCAGAAGCCUAUUCUGAGAAAGUGCAAAGGGAUGUCUGAUGAACUCAAACUAUUUCUGUCUUCCCUCUCCUUGUUAACUAUUCACUGCGUUGCUAGCAUGUGGAAGUGAUUCCAGCAGCAAGCUGAAAACCUACAGACAGCUUUAAAACUAUUAGAAAUAUGCAGAGGCUUUGAAAUCUAAGAAGGAUGGUUAUGAGUAUUGACUUCAAUCUCCUGUAUCACCCACAAAAAAGAUCCCCCAUUACUUCAGCUGCCACUAUACUUCCCCUCAGUUACCAAUGUGACUGAGUCCUGCCUAACACAGUGGAGGUAAGUAAGAAUACAUGAACAGAAGACACAGGAUAGGACCACAUGGGGUGCAAAACAGAAGACGGAAGACUGCAUUAAAAACAUGUCCUCAAUAUUGUUUGGUCCUAGUGUUUCCUUCCAGCUUCAAGGGCACAAAAAUAAUGUACACUUAAUGCACUCUGAACGGCAACAAGGCAUACUUGGCAAUCCCAAUGCUGUAUUCACCAUGGGUUUUGGCAAUAUAUGUAACGUAGUUUUCCUAAUAGUUAUUAUGGCUCUGAGAGGUAUAAAAUGCCUGAUAUUCCAGUGCAAUAUCAAGUUUAAGACUAAAGUGAAACCUUAAAAAUUCCGUUAUUAUUAGUUAUUACAAUGUUAAUAAUUUUAGCAGAAAUAUCCAGCUAUUUGGGAGUUGUGAAUGGAAUUUUAGAACAGUAUCACUGUGUGUUGUUAGAUCAGACUUCAUACCUACAGUUUACUAGGAAUAAAAAAAAACUGCCUUGUGAUUGAAUACUAUUCUGAAUUCUGGUGAAGUAAACGGUUCUUUUAAGGUGUGUGUUUCCCCUCAGAUCUGUAUUCAUCUUACAAGUUAUGCUGCUAUAGCUGAAAAAUGAGUCUUGUACUCUCCUGAGUAUAUUUGCAAUGGCAUUAAAUGAUUUGUGGUCAUCUUCAGUUAACAUUGACAAUAAUUCUAUAAUAUCUUUGAAGUAAGGCCAACACCACCCUUUUUAACUUUUUUUGGUUUUUAAAUGCAAUUUCUGUUAUUGCAUGUUUUCCUACUUUGCUGAUACUUCUGGAGGGAGACUACUUCAAUAUUCUGUUUGGAAGUACCCCAGUUUUAUGUCACCUUUUCUCCCGUAACAUAUUGCUGUUAUUUCCUCAGAUUUCUCGGAGUUUUUAAUACGUGCAUUUCACUGCCACUCACCCUCUACUGGUUUGAAUGGUAAGAAUAGGCACCAUGUCCCUCACCAGUUCAUCUUUUUCUGGAAUCUCUCUUCUUUCUCUUGGGUCAAUCAUGCUAAAGGUAGAUAAAAUCUAUUUUAUCUAACAUGUCAAUGUCACUCUAUUAACUUUCCUCUGUGGUACACUGUUUCCAUUAUAGGAAUUUAGAAGCUUGGGAAGGAAAUGAAUAUGCAACUUUAGCCAGGCAAAUUUGAGUUUUCUUCCAAAGCUUCUCAGGAUCUCUGGUCAUACACUUCUUUUCUCCUCACAUCAGAAUGUCAUUUAUUCAUAUCAUAGUCUGCUGCAUUGCCAUCUAUAGUUCACUAGUUUUCCAGUAAAGUUGCUGAUGGGAAUGCCAGUUGGAGGAAACUGUUUCCUUCAAUGUAAUAUGCUCACAAAAAUGAUGUGGCAUUGGUUUUAUUUCCUUAACAGUACCUGCUUGCAACCUGCCAACACACUGUGUGUAUAAAAAUAUUUGCCAUCUAACACAUCUCCAGAAGUACCUCUUCUUAUGAAAAUUUUCCUUGAGGAAAAUGUUCACUUCACAUAUAUAUAUGUAUAUAAUCUCCAUGGUGCUACACAGCAGGCAAGAAUUGUAGGUUUUGCUCUUUUAGCAAUGAUGAGUGAACUGACUCUUCUUUUCUACUAAACACACAAUUUUACAACAAUGAGCCUGUCUGGCUUCAUUUUCUGCUGCUAUUCAGGGGGGAGAGAAAAAUUAUAUAAGUCAAGAACGGUGUGGUGACUGGGCUAUUAACUCACUUCCAUUCUGCACAGUUAAAAGAGCUUCUCUCCUGUGGAUCAUAUGCUUAGACAGAACCACAUUUAUUGUUGCUUGUUGCCUCACUAAAGAAAGAAUUAUAGAAACAUAGAACAGCCUGCAUUGAAAAGGUUAUCUAGCUCCAACCUCCCUGCCAUGGCCAAGGACAGCUUUCACAUGAUUUGCCCGCAAGCUUGACAUAGUUUUAACUCAGAAAUGGGACUUUACCUCUUUGAGCUAUUACAAAGUGCGUUUUUGCAUGUCUACUAUUUACCCAUAUAUCUAGUUCCUAAACUCAUAUUGUGAAAAUCAGGUCACAAUUAGAUGCCUCAAUUUUCACAUCCCUCCCUCUUUUUGUAAUCCGUAAGUUCUUGUGUUGGUGACAUUGCACUCAUUGCUAAGAUCCCCAUUUCUGGCACCAUAGUACCUCGUACACCCAUACCCAAUUCAAAAUUAAUACCUCUUCAACCUGUACUGUGAUGGUCCAUUGGUUCAUGCAGAAUUCUCCUGAAUUCUAGCAAUUCAGGAGAGCUAGCAAUGCUGUUUUCAUCCUUUUUUGUCCUCACUGUGUGCACUCUUAAAAAAAUGAUGUGAUGUAUUGCAGUUCUUGCAUAUUUUUCAAGUCCUCAGAGCCAGGAUCUCUAAGAUCUGUUUCAUUCAGUGUUUUACUCUAACUGGUCAGCACUGUGUCACAGGCACCUCUGAACAGCACAAUAACCAACCCCACUGGUCCACAAAACAAAAGGCCUUCUGUGGCAACAAGCUGCCACAGAAGAGACACUACCAUGGAGACCAUUCGUGAUCCUGUAAGAAAGAUCCAUUGUAUUUCACAUCCCUUUGUUCUGAAAGCACUAGGAAUUAUCUCACGUCCAUUCAUCAUGAGCCAAUGAGUUAUCCCAAGUUUAGAGUUUGGGAACUGCAAAAGUGUUAAAACUCACAAAAAAUAGGCCUGCAACAAGAAAAGUAGAAAGGAAGUGAAACCUAUAUCAGCUGAGCUGGAAGUGUACCCAGAGGUACUCAAGCUCCAGCUUGAGACUUAAAGUGUGAAGGAAAGGAAGUUACUUGCACUAUCCAAGUAAUCAGUAGCUUUAUGAUAAAGCAUGUGUACAUGUAUACAUAAGCAGAAGGACUGAAGAGAAGAAAAGAAGAGAUUAAAGCUGACUUCUUGUGGGGUAUGCCUGAGGACUAUGCAUUGAACUUUUAAUUUUGUUGUAGGCAUUUGCAUUCUUUUUGACACCUAUGAACCUUGUUUCAGUUUUCCUGAGUUGCACCUGCCUGUUUUCCCUUAAGUCAGAUGUGAAAGAAUAUGUUGUGGGUAGGUAUAUCUGCCUGCUGAGGCACAAUGGACUACAGGGAAUACAAUUUGGAGACUGCAGACAAGGCACAUUGUUGCUAUGAUCAAACAUUUUUCUUGUGCAUGCAAGACCCACAUGAGAGCAGAGUGUGUUCCUCCAGCAUUGUAAAGCCAAAUGACAUUCCAGAAGCAGCUGCCCAGCCAAUACGUCCACGCUCAGUGUAGGUUCUCCACUCGGGAAAUUUGAAGCUCCUAUCUCAAAUUUCUACCUGACAAAAAAAUCUAGGACAAUCUUAUUUGGGAACUUUGGAGCUCAUUUUGAGGGUUAUUCACCCUAAGAUAAGAUUACAACAGAUCUGUGAUUGAACUCAAACCCAAGGUACAUCUGGUGGUAAAAAUUUCCAUUUUUUUCUUCUUUAUUUUCUUUGCAGAUAUGCAGGAAGAAUUUUUACUUAAGUUAGUACAUUCUUGAUGUUAAUGCAGCUUUUGUUUUACUUUUUUUUUUUUUUUUAAAUUUAGGUAUCAGUCUUUCAAAGCUCACUUCCAAGUGAACAUCUCUCAGUUGGUAAAUGAUGUGAAACUUAUUUUUGGAACAUGUAGGAAUAGCAAAAGGGCUCACUAAUCUUCUAAUAAGAUAAAGUUACUUCUGAAGGAUAAAAUUAGCAUGCUGGAAAUUUUCCAACAAUUAUAUUUUUACAGCCCUACCAUGUAUAUUAUAUACUGUGUUUCUAAAGAAUUAGUACUCCAAAACGUAUGUUCCUCAUGUCUUCUGCAAACUUUAUUUUGAGGAAAAUUUUAAUGUGAUAAUUUAAAAAAAUAUUUAUUUAUGAAGAAUUAUCCAAACUGUAUAAUCUUAUUAUUAUGAGAAAUAAAAUAUUAGUAAUGAAAUAUGCAUCCUGAUUUUGGCUAAGACAGAGUUAAUUUUCUUCCUAGUAGCUGGUACAGUGCCGUGUUUUGGAUUUAGUAGGAGAAUCACGUUGAUAACACACUGAUGUUUCAGUUCUUGCUCAGUAGUGUUUACCCUACAUCAAGGACUUUUUCUCAUGCUCUACCAAUGAGGAGACACAGAAGAAGCUGGGAGGGAGCAAGGCCAGGACAGCUGACCUGAACUGGCCAAAGGGAUAUUCCAUACCAUAGAAUAUCAUGCCCAGUAUAUAAACUAGAGCAGUUGGCCAGGAGGCGCAGAUGACUGGUCGGGGCUGGGCUGCAUUGGGCUUUGGUCAGCAGGUGGUGAGCAACUGUGUUGUGCAUCACUUUGUCUUUAUGGAGGCUUAUUCCUCCUUUUUUU
This is a long non-coding RNA of Corapipo altera (White-ruffed manakin), 10575 nucleotides long. RefSeq lists it as uncharacterized. Lineage: Eukaryota; Metazoa; Chordata; Aves; Passeriformes; Pipridae. The transcript has 3 exons. The record is from RefSeq and is a predicted model, not a curated record.